UAAGCGGAGGAAAAGAAACCAACAGGGAUUGCCUCAGUAGCGGCGAGUGAAGCGGCAAGAGCUCAGAUUUGAAAUCUCACCUAGUGUGCGAGUUGUAAAUUGCAGGUUGGAGUCUCGGGUUAGACGUGUGUGCAAGUCCCUUGGAACAGGGCGCCACUGAGGGUGAGAGCCCCGUAGCGUGCAUGUCGACACCUGUGAGGCCCUUCUGACGAGUCGAGUUGUUUGGGAAUGCAGCUCUAAGUGGGUGGUAAAUUCCAUCUAAGGCUAAAUAUUGGCGAGAGACCGAUAGCGAACAAGUACUGUGAAGGAAAGAUGAAAAGCACUUUGAAAAGAGAGUGAAACAGCACGUGAAAUUGUUGAAAGGGAAGGGUAUUGGGCUCGACAUGGGAUUUACGCAUCGUUGCCUCUCGUGGGCGGCGCUCUGGGUUUUUCCUGGGCCAGCAUCGGUUUURGUUGCAGGAUAAGGACAAUUGGAAUGUGGCUCCUCGGAGUGUUAUAGCCUUUUGUAGAUGCUGCGUAUGGGGACCGAGGGCUGCGGCGGACUCGUU
RNAcentral lists this ribosomal RNA (548 nucleotides) under Pichia kluyveri. RNAcentral describes it as "eukaryotic LSU rRNA". It matches the Rfam family "Eukaryotic large subunit ribosomal RNA", at positions 47 to 606 of the family's 3401-position model. The record is from RNAcentral. Lineage: Eukaryota; Fungi; Ascomycota; Pichiomycetes; Pichiales; Pichiaceae.